Long non-coding RNA from Cydia splendana, 281 nucleotides. RefSeq lists it as uncharacterized. The transcript is spliced from 3 exons. The record is from RefSeq and is a predicted model, not a curated record. NCBI's taxonomy places the organism in Eukaryota, Metazoa, Arthropoda, Insecta, Lepidoptera, Tortricidae.
CUGGCAGCUUCCUCGCACAAAGAAUAAGUAUUGCGAUACAGCGAGGAAAUGCUGCCAGCAUCUACGGCACCAUUCCGCAGGGGGAUAGUUUUUAAUUAUUUAUUUUAAGAUUAGUUUUAUUUAUUUUUAGAUUUAGUUUUUAAGUUUUGUAGGUUAGUUAUUUAAUAUUUAUAUAUUAUAUAUAUCGUUGUCUAAGUACCCACAACACAAGCCUUCAUGGGCUUACCGUGGGGCUUAUCAAUUUGUGUAAUAAUGUCCUAUAAUAUUUAUUUAUAUAAUAU